RNAcentral lists this ribosomal RNA (253 nucleotides) under uncultured archaeon. Its description in RNAcentral is "partial 16S ribosomal RNA". It matches the Rfam family "Archaeal small subunit ribosomal RNA", at positions 474 to 727 of the family's 1478-position model. The record is from RNAcentral.
AACCAGCACCUCAAGUGGUCAGGAGGAUUAUUGGGCCUAAAGCAUCCGUAGCCGGCUCUGUAAGUUUUCGGUUAAAUCCAUGUGCUCAACACAUGGGCUGCCGAAAAUACUGCAUAGCUAGGGAGUGGGAGAGGUAGACGGUACUCGGUAGGAAGGGGUAUAAUCCUGUCAUCCUGAGCGGACCACCUGUUGCGAAGGCGCCACACUAGAACGGAUCCGACGGUCAGGGACGAAGCCUAGGGGCACGAACCGG